GGGGAAGCACUUUGUGGUUAGUAGGGAGCAGCAUCUGACAAUGCGAACCUUGUCAUUUAAGGGACCUGGCAGCAUACUUUAAAAGGAAAUAAUUCGGAAGAAGCAUUAGACGUUAAAACAUUGUGGGCUCACACAACCAUUGCCCAAACCUACACAACUUUGUAAGAGAUCUGGGGUUCAGGAAGGGGUGUGUGUUGGUUGUUUCCAUUUUGAUCAGAGGUUGCAUUUCUAUAUCAGCAACUCAAAUACCACACAGAAGAGACAGUGAGCAGCUGAUGAGGGUAACAGCAAACAAUUCCAUGCAGCAUCUGAAAAUCAGUUUUAAAACUAUAUAGAGUCCCAUUCUGAAACUACGGUGCUCAGCACCGCACAAACACAGGACAAGGUGAGGAGCAGAGAUACCAGGAUGCAAUGACCAGGAGCUGGGUCUCACUAUUUGAGUCAAAAAUGUGGACAGUGUCAUCAUUAAGAGUGAGCAAGCUGCAGGGAUUUAAAUGAGAUAAGACUUUAUCAGGUCUAUUUUCCAGUAAUUAAGGUUCAGGCACACUGGCUCCAAUCCAAAGCAGCGAUGUCAGAAAGGAGGGCAGUGUCCAUGGGGUGCAACUGGAGACCUAAUACCCCUAGGAUGAAUGAACUCUGUCAUUGCAUAAUGUGUGCUCUGAAGAACCAAUAAUGAUCCCAGACUAACCCUUAUGUCCUUCCCAUUUCUGCAGUGGGUCCACACGUUUUGUGAGUCUGAGCCACAGCACAGAUAUAACAACCCUGCUUCAGGUUCCUGAAAGCUCCAAGCUUAUUGUACAUGAUAGAUUUACCAGACUUAAUCCUAGGUAUUAAACACUUUUUAACACACCAUCUUAACUCUGCUAAACAUGGAAAUAUGUGGUUGCACUCCAUUUGAACAAGUCUGAACUGAGUACAACAAAAGACUGAAUUUUACUUAUCUUAGUGGCCUCAGCAUUUCUGUAUGGACAUGCCAGGAGGUCAUGAAAUAUCGAGAAUCCAAUAACAUCAAGGAAGCACACUCAUAUUGGAAAAAAAGAAAAAAGUCUGGAAGAGAAUAUAACCUCUCACUGAAAUAAUGCUCUACUCCCACACAGUCAAAUUACUUCGAUUCAUACUACAACGUCAAAAAGCUAUUUGCAUGCAACAUUUAUCAACCAUUUCUCCUCUCACUAAACAGACUAAUGGUAUUGUGCCUCUCAGAGCAGAGUCCUAAAAAACAACCAACCAGCCAACAAACAAA
This is a non-coding RNA of Anas platyrhynchos (mallard), 1243 nucleotides long. The record is from RefSeq and is a predicted model, not a curated record. Lineage: Eukaryota; Metazoa; Chordata; Aves; Anseriformes; Anatidae.